UGCGGAAUUUUAGAUAAUGGAGGGAACUCUGAUCUAGCGACGCCGCGUGCAGGAAGAAGGUCUUCGGAUUGUAAACUGCUGUGGUAAGGGAAAAAUGCCAUGUAGAGUGGAAAGCUACAUGGAGGGAUGGUACCUUACUAGAAAGCCCCGGCUAACUACGUGCCAGCAGCCGCGGUAAUACGUAGGGGGCGAGCGUUACCCGGAAUCACUGGGCGUAAAGGGAGCGUAGGUGGCCUAACAUGUCAACUGUGAAAACCCGGAGCUCAACUCCGGACUUGCAGUUGAAACUGGUAGGCUUGAGGACGGUAGGGGAAGACGGAACUGCCAGUGUAGGGGUAAAAUCCUUAGAUAUUGGCAGGAACGCCGGUGACGAAGGUGGUUUUCUGGGCCGGUUCUGACACUGAUGCUCGAAAGCCAGGGGAGCGAACGG
This 430-nucleotide ribosomal RNA is filed under the name uncultured bacterium. RNAcentral's name for it is "bacterial SSU rRNA". It matches the Rfam family "Bacterial small subunit ribosomal RNA", at positions 355 to 775 of the family's 1533-position model. The record is from RNAcentral.